GACAUCCUUCUGAAUAAUAACCAUCAGUUUUUCUCCUACCUGGACUUAAAUAUAGAUAUCAAUCUUGACAUGUGCACUGUGUCAGAAAUCUGCUUUGGCUACAAGCACCUCUGCCCUACAUCUCUUUGCAGGCUCAACCAAGGAAGCUAUUCUGCCACUGCUGCAGCAUUGAAUUCUGCCGUUACAAAGACAACAAUACAAGUCAUUUAAGAUCCUCACCCUAUUUCCAGGCUGGAGCCUAUGAAGUGAAGAAAAGAGAAUUAUUCUCCAAAUUAGGCUGCCAAGGCACUUUAGCAUGUUUAAGAUGCCCUUUACAGGUUAAAAUUUCUUUCCCUUUCUUGUCACUAGGCAAGACAAUCAGUUUUGUCUCAUUCAUGAACAUGAACUACAACAGCUUCCAAAAGAGGACAAGUAAUAAGGAAAGCAGCUUAUAAGUGGAUACAUUUGCUUAAGUUUAAAGGCUCUAGUCAUAGAGAUUCAAUGGGUACUGUGAAAUACUUAGUGAAUAGACUUGCCUUGCUUUUGCCGUCAUGCUGAACUUACUUUGAUGUAAUCCCAUAUAAAGCAGCAGAGUCACCUUCUGAUUAUGCAGUGUAGGGAACGGCGAUCGGAAGAUCUCGCGAUGGCACGGAAAGAGGAAGGAAGAAGAAGGAUAUGACGUAGAGAUAGCAGUAUGCUUGUAGGUAUAUAAGCAAAUACAUGCGUACAAUAAACGCCAUUUGCAGCAUCCUCA
RNAcentral lists this long non-coding RNA (733 nucleotides) under Dromaius novaehollandiae (emu). RNAcentral's name for it is "lncRNA (ENSDNVG00000004909.1)". The record is from RNAcentral. Lineage: Eukaryota; Metazoa; Chordata; Aves; Casuariiformes; Dromaiidae.